This is a long non-coding RNA of Gadus morhua (Atlantic cod), 649 nucleotides long. The record is from Ensembl. NCBI's taxonomy places the organism in Eukaryota, Metazoa, Chordata, Actinopteri, Gadiformes, Gadidae.
UGAUGAAACAAACAUCCUGUCUCAGCUAGUCCCUGCACACUCUCUAAAUUUAACAAAUGCCUUGAGCCCUCUUCUGUUUAGACACCUUUUCUGAUUGAGGGUUGGGAUGACCACCUGUCCUGAUAAAAACCACCUACCCUUGGAAGGCAGUGCUGGCUCCUGAAGUGGGUCUUUCCGAUGGACCUCUCUGCGUUCUUCUUGGCCAGCACUGCUUGCUGUCGUUUCCUAUAAAAUACAAUUUCAAAGACGUGGAACAUCUUUAGCAACGCAAGGUCAGCCUGGUACACCGUGAGCCAGGACUCUGGGACCUUUUGGCUAGGCCUACAGGGCAGAGACUUCCGUCGGCCGAUGCCCUUGCCGGGAAGGGACAUCCGACGCGCUCCGAUGCUCUUCCUACGCGUGAAGCUGUUUCUGCGGACGGACGGCGUCUUCUUGCCGGGGUUGGCCCAGUAAACACAGCUGGCAAAAGGGGCCCCCAGGGACUUCAUGGAAUCCAUAGUGGAAGACUUCUGGUCAGGUUGGAGGUUGCGACUUGGGGGCACUUUGGAUGGAUGGUACCCCUUUCCGAAGGUCGUCUGGAGGUGCCAAAAUAUCACACCGCAAUACGGGAUGCCUUGAUGACAGCAAUGUCGCUCCCAGGCGUUGGGGA